This 329-nucleotide unclassified non-coding RNA is filed under the name uncultured fungus. RNAcentral describes it as "partial contains 5.8S ribosomal RNA, internal transcribed spacer 2, and large subunit ribosomal RNA". The record is from RNAcentral. Lineage: Eukaryota; Fungi.
AACGCAUCUUGCACCCCUUGGUAUUCCUGGGGGUAUGCCUGUUUGAGUGUCAUUAAUCUUAUUCUCAAUCCGAAGUGGCAGAGAAGGAUAAUUUAUUCUUUUCUUCACUUUUGGCUUGGACGAUGAAGGUUGCUGGCUGUUUGUGCAGCUCCUUUGAAAUGAAUUAGCAGAAAGUUGACAGGGUUCAGCUUACAGUUUGAUAUGCAUCUAGCUGUUUGCUGUGGAGUCAUUGUGUUCUGCUUCCUUGUCCUUGUAAGGACUGCUCAGCUUUUUGAGCAAAACAUUCAUAACUUGACCUCAAAUCAGGUAGGAUUACCCGCUGAACUUAA